Molecule: ribosomal RNA, 468 nt
Filed under: uncultured bacterium
Lineage: Bacteria
Description: partial 16S ribosomal RNA
Rfam family: Bacterial small subunit ribosomal RNA
Source: RNAcentral
GACGAACGCUGGCGGCGUGCUUAACACAUGCAAGUCGAACGGAAAGGCCCUGCUUUUGUGGGGUGCUCGAGUGGCGAACGGGUGAGUAACACGUGAGUAACCUGCCCUUGACUUUGGGAUAACUUCAGGAAACUGGGGCUAAUACCGGAUAGGAGCUCCUGCUGCAUGGUGGGGGUUGGAAAGUUUCGGCGGUUGGGGAUGGACUCGCGGCUUAUCAGCUUGUUGGUGGGGUAGUGGCUUACCAAGGCUUUGACGGGUAGCCGGCCUGAGAGGGUGACCGGCCACAUUGGGACUGAGAUACGGCCCAGACUCCCACGGGAGGCAGCAGUGGGGAAUAUUGCACAAUGGGCGGAAGCCUGAUGCAGCAACGCCGCGUGCGGGAUGACGGCCUUCGGGUUGUAAACCGCUUUCGCCUGUGACGAAGCGUGAGUGACGGUAAUGGGUAAAGAAGCACCGGCAAACUACGUG